Camelus dromedarius (Arabian camel) is the source of this 3687-nucleotide long non-coding RNA. RefSeq lists it as uncharacterized. The record is from RefSeq and is a predicted model, not a curated record. NCBI's taxonomy places the organism in Eukaryota, Metazoa, Chordata, Mammalia, Artiodactyla, Camelidae. The transcript is spliced from 9 exons.
GCGGGACGCGGUGUCGGCGUUUCUCCGCGCUGCUGAGAGCCUGCAAGUUCCCCUCUGGGCCUCCCAGCUUAUUUUAGUUCAGGAGCCCCUGAGGCCUAGCGUGCCGGUUACAAGAGCUCCUAGGAGCGGCUCGCCGGCUCCUGGCCUUUUCCGGGGCGAAGGGCCCCUCAGGGAGACCGUUGGACCGAGGUCUAGCGCUGCGUGCGCUCUGCGAGCGCCCGGGAGCGCGACUCCUCGUUCCCUGGGGCUGGAGAAGCCGAUGUUUCACCCGUCCAGACUAAGGGGUUGUUUGUCAUCCAGAAUUCUACAGUUUGUUGUCCCUAGGAGGAGUCUCCUGAUUUGGCCGCACGAGGGCGCUACUACACCUGCGGUCUCCUCUGUUGCCUACACCUGGGAUCUCCUCUAUUGGCUACACCUGCAUCUCCAGAAAUGAUCUUCUAGGUCUUCUCACUUGACUCCUAGUCAUCUGACCAGAUGCUCUGCCAUGACCACCAAACAUCUAUUACUGAUGUAGUCAGGAAGCUGCAUUCAGUCUCGGAUUCUUUUGUGAUUUGUAUUUAAUGAAUACACCAACUUGCAAGAUUAAUCAUGAAAAUUUUGAUUUAGAAGAGACCCUUUGUUUGGAAUAUGUUUGCUCUAGAUGUCUUCAUGGCUUGUUUCCUAUCAAAAUGGAUUCUGUGGGACUGCACUGUAUUUUGUUAUAAUUGGUCCACUUUUCUGUUUUUUCCUUUUCCUUCAUUUGGAAGAGCUAUUGGAAAUGUUUACAGUGCACUUAUUCCUCGCAAAAGCCCUGUGAAAUAGACAUUGUUCCUCCAUUUUAAAGAUGCUGCUAAUAAAAGCCAGAAGGUGCUAUGAAGGUUUUCUUGUAAGAAGAGGAAGAGACACCAGGGAUGCAAGUGCACAGAGAAAAGGGCAUGUGAGGACACACUGCAAAGGUGGCCAUCUGCAAGCCCAGGAGAGAGGCCUUAGAAGGAACCAAAGCUGCUGACACUUUGCUCUUGGAUUUCUAGCACCCAGAACUGUGUGUUUGAGGUCAGUUAACAUAGAACAUAUAAACUGGUCUCAGGAGACAUUUUGGAUCAUCUGGUAAAGACUUCACCUCAGCAGAUUACAACCAUCUUCUGAAGUCUUGGAGAUAGUCCCCAAGGAACUGUUGGGAACACGGCAGUGUGGUGUUCUUAGAGUGUGACCUCAGAUCUUACUGGUCCAGGUGUGUGAGAACAGCCAGACAAACUCAGCCAGAGGCACUAUCUGGCUCCCUUUGACUAUUGAACUGGAGAGCAGACUUGCAUUUGUGACCCAGGAAUUUGUUUACCUUGGGUGAGUUACUUCAGCUCCCUGAGACUCAGUUUCUUUACCUUUAAAAUGGGAAUAAGAGUAAUUUCUUCUCUACCUGCUAUAAAGGUGCUAUGGGUUAAAAUGUGUCCCCCCAAAAUUCAUACUUUGAGGUCCUAAGCCCCGGUACCCCAGAAUGUAACUUUAUUUGGAAAUAGAAUCAUGGCAGGUGUAAUUAGUGAAGAUGACAUACUGGCAUACCGGAGUUGGGGGAGCCUAAUUCAGUAUGACUGGUGGCCUUAUGAAAAGGGGAAAUUUGGACACUGACACUCACAGGGAAAACACCAUGUCAGGAUGAAAGCAGAGACCUAUAAGCCGAGGAACACCAAAGAUGGCCAGCCAACCACCAGAAGCCGGGGGAGAGGCCUCGAACAGAUUCUCCCUCCCAGCCCUCAGGAGGAACCAGCCCUGCAGACUCCUGACUACCAGUCUCCAGAACAGUGACACACUUUCUUUCUGUUGUUUGAGCCACCCAGUUUGUGGUACUUUGUUACAGCAGCUCUCCAAAACCGAUAUAAACGAGUUUUUUAAGAUCAGAUUUUACAAUAAAAGUUGCACAUUCCAGAAAGGGCUAUUCAUAUGUUAGUAUUUACUAUAGAAAAGCUCUGACUUAAAUCUGAAGAAUAACCCAACUGGUAAUGGUAAAAAUAUUACAGUAUUUUGAAAUAUCAAAAAUAGCAUGUACUAGGCUAAGCAUGCAAUGUGCAUUUUCUCAUUUGUUUGACUGACCAAGUCCUGUUCUCCUUCAUCUCUCAUAUCCUCUCCCUUUCUGUUACCACUGCUCCCAGUCACCACCGUGUCUCACCAGCGUGACUGUAACACUCUCCUGACAGUCCGGCUUCUAGUCUAGAACUCUCCAGCCCAUCCUUCACACAGCCAGAAGCAGUGGCGAUUUCAGAAUUUCUGUGCGAGCGUGGCUGGGGAGAGACAACCUAGUUGAGAGCCAGGACGGGGGUGACCACUGAGACAGCUGAGUGCUGUAAUGUAACAAGCAUGGCCUCUGGACCUGGCCUGGGUGUGUUCAAGUCCCAGCACCGCCACUCAGUAAUUGUGUGACCUCAAGUGUCCGCUCCUUCGUGCAAAGAUUGAGUUAACGCAUUUUAAAAGAUCGCUUAGGAUAUGGUGUGGCACACAGAAAGCUUCAAUAAGUCCUAGCUAUUCUCAUUCUUGUGUUUUGUUUUGUUUUGUUUUUGCUAUGGUCCUAUAACAAGCACAUAUUUCUAAGUUAAUGCUUCCUUGGUGGUGCUGAUGGAAAUGGUUAUGGAGACCACCCAUUGGUUAGCUACUGAGCUAUUGGUAAGAAUGAUUACAAAACUAAUCGUAAUAGUCCUCUGCUUAAAACUUCAAGUGCCAGCCAGAAAGAGAAAGAAAAAUACCAUGUGAUAUCACUCAUAUGUGGAAUCUUAAAAAAAAAAAAAAUAAAUGAACUCAUAAGUAAAACAGAAACAGACUCAUAUAGAAUACAGACUUGUGGUUGCCAGCGGGGAGGGGGGAGGGAAGGGAUAAACUGGGAGUUUGAGAUCUGCAGAUGCUGGCUGGUGUAUAUAAAAUAGAUAAACAAGUUUAUACUGUAUAGCACAGGGAAAUAUAUUCAGUAUCUUGUAGUAGCUUAUGGUGAAAAAGAAUAUGAAAAUGAAUAUGUGUAUAUUCACGUAUGACUGAAGCACUGUGCUGUACACCAGAAAUUGACACAACAUUGUAAACUGACUAUACCUCAAUUAAAAAAAAACUUCAAGUGCCUUUCCAUCUCCUCCAUGAUACAAAUCCACUCUUUGAUGUAGCCAACAUAGCCUUCCAAAAGGGGUCUUGCCCUCUCUCUCCAGCCUUGCCUCUCCCCACACGUCCUCUGGGACCCUGCACUCCAGCCACACUGGAGUACAUCAUAGAUCCCCCCUAAGGUGGGGGUUGGACAGCAAAGAUACUGGAUAGAUACCUGGAUACUCACCAAUAGGAAGGGACGAGUGGAGGUUGUGUGUUUCAGUCAAAGCGGCUGAGCCCGUCUCCCUUAACCCCCAGGCCCAUAUGUUUCCCUUGCUGUGAACUUAGAACCCUGCCAUCUGUCAGCCAGUUCCCUGUCGAAGCAGAAAUCCCCUUGAGGUUUGUUCUGAACUGGUAUUCCCUUGGGAAACAACUCACCCUCCAGGACCUUGGAAAGAAGCAGGAACCAUCAGAGCAGCCAAAUGAAAUAAUUCCUGUCUGCUGCUUAUUAAUUUUUUAAAAAGAUGAAUAAAAUAUUUCACACAAGGUGUUCUUAUAUUGCUUUUUGGUUUUGACUUCCCCAGAAUAAUUUCCAAUAACUAUGCUACAAGAAAUUUUUCAUGCAAAACCAUGUCUUCUAACCACUGCAUUGUA